UCAAAAGAAAAUGUUAGUUUUCUGUUUGGCUCCAAGUUUUGAGUCACUUUUGCAAAAAAGCCCUAAUUACAAUUCAAACUCUAGCUCAAACGGACUGGGCCCGUAUUAUAAAAUUAAGGUAUAAGGCCGAGAAAUGAUUGUAAACCAUACUGCAUUGUAUCUAACUUAUUGGGCUUACAAUAGCAAAUGGGCUAUGUUUUUGUUUUGUUCUCUGUUUACUCAAGAGAAGCGACAGAAAAAAAAAAAUAUCCACGGUGUUUCGAUGGUCGGAAUAGAUAGGGGAUAAGGGUUUCUCAAUUCAGAUUGCACCCAAUCAGCGAAAAAAAUUCGAUGGCUUAAACUGGUUCGCUUUAUCUGGCAAACCAACCCGCUUCACCUUAGUCAAUUCAGUCCCACAAAAAGCAUUCAUAUAGCAAGAAGAUAACUUCAUAUUUGCAGAAGGAAGCUUGCUAGGCAAAUGAAGUAAGAUUCACUGAUUGGUUCAAUCUUUGAAAUAGCAGAGAAUGGAGUUAGCUUGAUUUGGUAUCGACUCCUGGUUGUUCUUAUCAGUCCAGAAGCAGGGCUGUUCGUUUGGUUGCCGCAGGUACCGGCGGCAGCGGCAGCGUCAACAUUCUGCGUCAACUCUUGUUCGUUUCGUUGACGCAGGAAACUGCGUCUGACGCUGCGUCCGAACGCCGCGUCCUGCGGCUGACGCCGAUAAAAUCUGCGGUCGCGAUAUAGUAUGCGGCUGCGGCAGCGUCAGCGUCUGCGAAACGAACAACAACUGUCCUCAUUGACGCUGAGGACGCCGCCGCCGCUGACGCCGACGCCGAAACCUGCGACAACCAAACGAACAGGACUAUUGCACAAAGAUCCGUUGACCGUAUUCCAAUUGGUAUGUUCUCUCAAAAUAACUAUUGAAUGAAGAGCUUCUCCGUUGUACAGAAGAUCACAAUAACAGAAAAAGAUUUGUUAGGCGAAUGGAUUAUACGCUUGGGAAUUCUUAUGACAUCGAAGUAUUAGCCAUGUGUUGAACGAUUUGGGUCGUACAUAUAUUUUUCAAUGCACAAAUGGAUAUUAAGGGCAACAAAACUCAAAUGCAACCCAAGCCGCGCAACACUAAAUACGCAAGGCUUAUCCCAUAGCAACAACUAAGAACGGUGAGGAUUAAUUCCACAAUGGAUUAGAUAUUGCAGAUAGACGUAUACGAUUACAGAAGACAUCAUUAUAUAAGAUCAGAGGAAAACGUGUCGGCAAAGUAAAUCGAACUACAUCCAAUUCCGGUUUUUCUUCGAGGUAUGUUAACAAUCUUUUUCGGUUAAGCUAUCCAGUGGUUAACGAUUUUUUAGAGUUUAAAAAAUUAAAAACUAUCGUACAUGACAUAUAACUUUGGUUUAAAAGUAAUAUCCCCUUUUAAAAAAAAAACAAACAUGGGAUACAAUUUCAAUAUAAUCCACUUUUUGCAUUUAAAUCAGUGUACAUAUUAUGAAAUAUACAUAUAAUUUUAAACAUAUAAUUUUUUGCAUUUAAAUCAGUGCCAUCAUGUAACAUGUGUAUGUUACGUUAUAACCUAAGUUUAGUAGAACUUGAGAAAAACAAAUAAAAAACUUGCGAAAACUUUAUUAAUUAUACAUGAACAAAUAAAUAUUUGCUACAAAAGUUUGUUGAGCAUCGAUGGUUUUAUUGAUCGUACAUCACUUGAACUAAGAUCAAGUUUUGAUCCAUGUGUUACACUUUCUGAUAAACAUAUAUAAACAUUUUUUGAAUUUCGAAUGUUCAAUGACAGGCUCAAUUUUAAGUUUAGGAUGUUAAAUUAUAAUGUUCAUUGA
This is a long non-coding RNA of Brassica napus (rape), 1808 nucleotides long. RefSeq lists it as uncharacterized. NCBI's taxonomy places the organism in Eukaryota, Viridiplantae, Streptophyta, Magnoliopsida, Brassicales, Brassicaceae. The record is from RefSeq and is a predicted model, not a curated record. The transcript is spliced from 9 exons.